Molecule: transfer RNA, 72 nt
Filed under: Dispira parvispora
Lineage: Eukaryota; Fungi; Kickxellomycota; Dimargaritomycetes; Dimargaritales; Dimargaritaceae
Rfam family: tRNA
About the family: Transfer RNA (tRNA) molecules are approximately 80 nucleotides in length. Their secondary structure includes four short double-helical elements and three loops (D, anti-codon, and T loops).
Source: Rfam by way of RNAcentral
GGGGGGUUGGCGCAAUGGUAGCGCGUGCGCCUCCAGAGCGCAAGGUUGGGCGUUCGAGUCGCUCACUCCCCA